AUCCUCCUCCUUCUCCGCUUGUGCCUCCGCCGGAUCUGAGAAGAUCGUCGAGAUCUGAAUUAGAUUUGAGUCCCAGGCCAAGAUUUGACCGUCGUGAGCGAUCCACACAUAUCUAUCGGCGGCAGUGAAGACGGAGAGACCAUGCCUAACGGUUGAGAUCUGAAUCAGAAUUCGAUUUCGCGAUCUAAAAAUCUCUUAAGCACUCAGAUGUCAGUGAUUUCUGCUCCAAUCAACACCUCUUUCUAAGAUCUGAGUCAGAUUCGAUGGCGGCGAAGAAUGCUGGGAUUCGCUGAUAAAACCACGAUUUCGACAAAGAAGAACAAGUGUUCAAUCAAUCAUCAGCGGGAAAAAAGGGGCUUCAUUUGAGUUGGGUUUAUCAGAUCAUCAUCAUCC
Molecule: non-coding RNA, 393 nt
Organism: Camellia sinensis
Lineage: Eukaryota; Viridiplantae; Streptophyta; Magnoliopsida; Ericales; Theaceae
Source: RefSeq, a predicted model, not a curated record